UACAAAUGGUUAAUAAUCACAGACUUUUACUUUCCUUUUCUAUAGUUAUUCCUAUAAUUUUCUAAUCUCUUCCCGCGGCAAAUAAACGGUAACGAAAAUCCACGAAAUCGUUUCGCGCUAGAUCUCUGUAUUUUUGUUACAUUUUUGGAUUUUAUUAUAUUAAAAUAGUAACCCAUUUGGCCAAAGAGAAGGAGCAUGGGUAACGGCGGCGGUGGCGGUUAUGGCGGCUACGGAAGAGGAGGCGGUGGUGGUGGUGGUGGCGGCGGUGGGUUGGGAGCCGGAAGUGGCGGCAGAGGAGGGAGCUACGGUAGAAACGGCCAGGAUGGAGAGGAUGGUUUUUUGUUUGGAGCUGGGGGCGGAGGGGGAGGCGGGGGUGCCGGCGGGGGACGAGGCGGAAGAGGAGGACGCGGGGGCAUUUUCGGCGCUAACGGCGAGGAUGGGAAGAAUGGACACUAACCCAUGGACUUUGACCGCACUGACGUUUGUGUACAUUGCAUUAAGUUAUUGACCUAAAUUAUAUAAUUCACAUUUCUGAGACAUUUUGAAAAACUUAAAAAAGUGCCGCUACUUAAGUUCUUAUACGAACUUGGUUUCGGUUUUAUAGGUAUUAUAUGAUACAUAUAUUUGUGUACUUUGAAUAUGCAAUUAAAUUUAAUUCCACUGUCACUAUUUUUGACGAAAUAACCGCCAAUGAUAUAAACUUACUUAUAUUUUAACCUUAGUAUCAACACGUUCAGUAUUUGUGUUUAAGCGAUGUCAUUUAUUGGCAUACGUGUUAUUUCAGCGAUUUUCAUUUGUAUUUGAUAUGUUCAUAAAACAGACAGAAAAUUGAGAAAAUGAAAAGAUAAAUCGAAUAAGAUAUAUUAUAUUGUU
Dreissena polymorpha is the source of this 873-nucleotide long non-coding RNA. RefSeq lists it as uncharacterized. The record is from RefSeq and is a predicted model, not a curated record. The transcript has 2 exons. NCBI's taxonomy places the organism in Eukaryota, Metazoa, Mollusca, Bivalvia, Myida, Dreissenidae.